GAAAUGGAACGAGGUAAUAAUCUUCUUCCUCCUCGGUCUAUGAGAAUUGCAGGUAUCGUAUCCGAUCCAGUGGCCACAAAGCUCGAUUUUAGGAUGCAUUUGACGACCUGCAGCAAUGGAUUGACUGAUACGCGAUAAAUCCUACCUCGCGAAGGUAGGUUUUUCCUCUGACUAUUUGAUUAUUUUUCCAGAAGAGAUCUAAUGCUUCGGAAACAGAGCUUCUGCAAUGGAUUAAGAGCGAUGCGAAAGAGCUUUGGAAAUGCCGUUUUCUAGGUAUUCUUUUGAGGGAGGAAAGAAAGAAGAAGCAGCAGAAUUGGUGUAAAGAAUAAAGAUGGCCGGAGAUCGGGGAAAGGGAGAUCGACAGAUUUGACCGCUCUCUAAGGCCUUGAGGCGGAACGAAGCGUUCCACAUGAAAACUGAGAGAACUUGGUUUAGCUUCUCUAGUUCGCCCUUUGUCAUCGCUGGCGAGAUCAGAAAGAGAAGAAAGGGUGGGCGACGAUCCAUCGAGCGUAGAGAAUAAAUUUUGGUUUGGGGAUGGCAAAAUUGGGUUUGAUCUCUUGGUCAGUUUAUGAUGGAGGUUGCUAUGUCCUAGGUAAGUUUAUUUUCUGGCAGUAUAUAUGAAAUAUGUUUGGAUGUUAUUUCUAUAUUCUAUCCUUUAUCAUUUCAUAACCCUGCCAAUGUCUUUGUUUAUGUUUGAAUGAAUUUGCUCGUCAAUGCAUCCGGGAUUGUUGUUAAAGCUCUGGUGUUCAUUGAGGUGCUUUCUUAACAUAAAUCCAGGAUUGGAGAGAUUUGUCUGGUUUCAUCUUAUGUAUUCUAGAUGUUCUAUGUUUGCUUGUAGUUUGUCACUUCAUCUCAUAUACUCGUAUGACUAAAAAUUUCUGAUAUAAAUAAUAAUCGAUUGUUUCCAUUAGUCCCUUAUCAUUUUGAUCUUUGUUCGUUCAGAUUCCACAUCACCAAAAUUUAUGGACAUCCUGUUUAUGGAUUGAAAAAGAGGGAUCAUUAGUUGUAUACCUGAUGCCAACUAUAAAUAAAUAAAUAAACAAAUAAAAAGGGAUCAUUAAUGUGUUAACUUGAAAGCCUAUGUGUAAAAUCCUAACCUCAAUGAUAAUGUCACAUUUCACUAUGAUUCAGAUAUUCAAAGACCUACACUUGCUGCCAUUCCAAUUACUAAUUUUGAAAACUUUGAAUUCCUUGAUUGCAAAUUCCUUAAAAUCCCUAACAUUGAAAACCCUUAUUCAAUGAUAGAUUUAACAAUCAGAAAUGAGUUGUUUCAUAUUUAUCUUACUCUUGCAGUGAUGAAUUGUAGGUUCCCAUUUUAUUUUAUUUUAUUUUAUUUCUUUUUUUUCCCCUUAAUUUAUAUAGAAUUUUUCUAAUCCUCUAUAUUGUGCAAACAUGUCAGGGCCCAACUGGGCACUUUUGUGAGUUGGAGCAGAACUUUCUCUAAGUGUUCGUUAGCAUUAGAGUAUAAUACAUCUAUAUUACUUAGACUCUAGCUAUGGAUCUAGUUGUCCAAUGUCUUAUUUUCUAAUAGUUUUUAAACAAGAUCAAUGGAGAAGUGCAUACUUCUUGAUUGAGGUGUACAGCACAUUAUUCUCUAAGUUAUUAAAUGUGAUUAUGAACCCAUUAGGUUUGGAUUUUAGUGUCAUUGUUUGACUUGGAUGUUUGACAAGGUACAGGAGUUAGAUUGAGAGGCUGAUUAUUAAAGUAGUACACUGAUUUUAAAAAACCAAUGGUUGAAAUGUUUGAUGGGAUUUUGAUGAAAAGUGAAUUAAAAACCUUAGAUUAGGUUCUUCACAAGAUAUGACUGCCUUCUCGUAUUGAUUAGGUUCUUCACAAGAUAUGACUGCCUUCUCGUAGUGAUUAGGUCACAUAAACCAGAGACCUUAUUUUGAUUGUGGACCCCCCUACCUCUUCUGCCCCCUUUUCCCUUCCUCUUCUCUAAUUCCUCCCAACUUCGUGUAAUGUUUAUAAAUUGUCAACAUCUUUGGUCAAUAUAUCACCCAUGCUUCUCAAUUGCCUCCUGAUCUUCUUGCACGCUGUUUGGAAAGAAGAAGAUAAUUCCACCUAAGUUUGGAAAGUGAAGGACUCCAUUCAUGAUAAUUGAAAUAAAUUCAGAACAACCUGCCUGAGGUGGGGCUAGUGCAAAGAACUCACUGGGAAAGGUGCAAGUAAAUCUACUAUGCCGUGAAAAGUAAUCAUAUGGUAAGCUGAUUUUACUGCUACUAUACUGCCAUGUAACUGUCUCCAAUUUGCAGACUCAGAUGAGAUUAUAUAUGGCAAAUGAUGCAAAUUUUGAAGCAUACUGAAUGAGACAGGCUUAUCAUAUAAUAGCCGAAGAGAAAGAUGGGUGGAUUUGAGCUCUUAAAUCCUGACAAGCUUAUUAGCACAUACUAGGUAUAGAUCUGGAAAGAGGCUUCUCACCACAACCCCCAUGUCCAUUCCCAGAGCAGAAAGGAAAUUCUGAUCAUCUAGAUUCCCCCUCAAUGAUUCUCAACAUGCAAAAAUCCCAAACAUUCCAGGUAUUCUUCUAUGAGAAAUUUUCUGUUCUCUUUUUCUGCACAAAUUUUCUGAGGUUCACUCAGAUCAAAGCUGAUGAAGAUAAAAUUUUGAAGAAUUUUUGCUAUGCUGUAUUCACUGAAUUAACUUAAAAUCAGGUUGUCAAACAUUUCUGACCUCAAAUUUACUCCCACUUCUCAGGAUCUUUAACUUUGGAUUUAUGUAAAAGUUUCUGAAUGAUAAUUAAAGCUGUUGAUAUUAAUUUCCACCUUCUCCAUGUCUUAUCAUAGAAUGACAGGCUGUAUGGAGACUCCAUAUGCCACCUUGGAGUUUCUAGCUCGCUUAAUGUUAUGUGUCUCUUUGCUACAUCAACAAUCACCAUCGGCUCCAUGUCAGCAAUGAAGAGGAGUAUUGCCAGGGGCGCAUUUUUAACAAUUGCAUUUUAUGUUGUCCCAGUUAUAUUUUUUGUGGUUUUAAUUUGAAGAAGUCACCAACCAUAAUGCAAUUGGAUUUAGCUAUGAGAGUCCAUCAUGACUAAGGGAUUAAGAAUAAAUUUAUUUAUUAGGAGCCAGACCAAGUUUAUAGAAAGAAAUUGUGUAUUCUAUAUAUUUGUAAUGUUUUUUUUUUUAAAAAAAAACAAUAUUAAGCAUGCUUAAUCCAAGUAAUACUUUCUUUAUCCUCCAAGAAGAUUCAGAUUACCUCUCUUCCCCUUGACUAAUUCAAGGUGAUUUUGUGUUCUCUCUAUCAAUGAACAUUAUUUAUCCUCAUCCUUUGCUGUCUAACAUUCAAAGCAAGCCCAGUUGCAUAAAUUAAACGAGUUUGCAGGUUGACCAUCACCUCCCCCAUCUUAUGUCUUUAUUGGCAACUCCUAAGAUGUACACUUUCUGCUUGUUUUUUAGAUUACCUAUCAAAAGCCCUUAAUCUCUCAUUUUCUGAUGAAAGCAAAAUUUUAAUCUAAGACCUUAGCAACAACUUCUAAGGUCCUCACCUACUAAGCUAGUUGACACUUUAUUCAGCUGUUUCUCAUCUGGACUAAUUGCAUUUUUCCUGAAUAUACAGAAGAAUAAUGCAUCUACAAAUUGAAUGCAAUGGAAUACAAAUUGUAUAUGUGUAGUGGUGUUGGAAACAGCACCCUAGUUAAGGCAAAUAUUUUCAGAUAUAUCUCAAUAGAAGUCAAUUAGAACAUUUUGCCUCUGGAAGCAGUUAGUCUAUUAAUAAACAGAUUAACUGUGUUGAGGUUCCUACUUGAAAGCUUAAAUUUAAUAAUUUUUAAGAUUUUUUUUUUGUAUAAUAUUGGCUUGUCAUCGGAUCAUUCAAUCUGCCCAUGUUCUAUUGGCAAAUGAUCAUUGUUUCAUUGGAUGGUGUCAUGUAUUCUAAGGACACAAGAUAGUUUUGUUUAUAAAUGGCAUAAGUUUUGAAAGCGGAAUAUAUAUUGUUCUAAUUUUGUGCUGUUUCAUACUUGUACAUCUGUUGUUUUUGUUAAUUGUGGUUUUACUAAUCCUCACAAUGAUAUGCAGUUUUGUGUUGAUAUCUUAUAUGCAAAGGUUCAUAAUUUUGAAUUAUUGGACUUGUUAAGUAGCAAAUCUGACAGUUUGUAGGAAUCUUUGCAUACUGGGAUCAUUAUCCUUCUCCAACUUUGCCAAUGAUUGUGAUGUACUCCGUAUUUUGUAUAUGGAAUUAGUAUCUCUUUUAUAAAUAAUGACCGUCAUGUUCCUGCAAGUCAAGUUUUCUUCUCUUCCUCUUUCGUGUAAUCUUCAAUUUGAAUUCUUCACCAACAUUUUUAGUGGUAAUUUGUAUCUUCAUGAGCCACUUCUGCGAGUGCAAUUGAAAAUUUUAAAAAAAAUCCAACAAACUCCACCUUAUCGUCCAUGGGGUAUUGAAUAUUUUCUGUAGUUGACCACUUUUUUGCAGAUACGAGGAUGAAAAUGAAUAGUCAGUAUUUGGUGAUACUUUGGAAAUGGCAAUCUGUUACUACUUUAAAUGCUAGGAUCACACUAGAUUCAACUAAUCUUGUUGCCUGAAUCAAUCACGGUAUAUUGAAUGGAAGUGGACCAUUACCAUUGUGCAUCUACUUUCAUUAUAAAUAUUGGAGACUGGAUGCAUACCCACAGAUCUGUUAUUUCAGGAGACACUGUGAAUUCGGGUUCUGUUUAUAUUCUGCUUUGAACUCGUAUGUAGUUUGUAACUUACUCUCUUCUUAUACAGUAGGAUUUUGUUUUUGUCUCCAUUGAUGUAUAACCACAUGUAUCUUGAACAUUCUCGCAGGCAGUAUCCUACAUUUCCUUUUCAAUCUCUGUGGUGAAAAAAAAUGAAAUUGAUAGGUAAGUGGGGGACCGAGACAAGCUGCCGUGAGGCUGCCAGUGGAGAUGGGAGGUUGGUGGAUCAAUUCUGGCUAGAUGGAAUGAAGCUUGAUAGGGAUAAAGAGAGAAUGAAUGGAAUGAGUGGCCUGGCAGUCAGGUCGAGCACGAUGAUGCAGACAGGAAAGCGACAGGUCGGCGAUAGCAACAGGACAGCGACUUCCUUGUCAGCUCGACUAGGGAAACUGGUCCACAAGCAAGACACUUCCGGAUAUAUCUCCAUGGAACAGUGCAGUUGUCACCGCAGUAGGAGUGCAAGAAAGAAGUGUGACAGAAUGACAUAAAAUAUGGAAACGAGUGGCUGUUUCUGAACAAUUGAAUGAAUGAAUGAAUGGUUGGAAUUUUCA
Zingiber officinale is the source of this 5200-nucleotide long non-coding RNA. RefSeq lists it as uncharacterized. The record is from RefSeq and is a predicted model, not a curated record. Lineage: Eukaryota; Viridiplantae; Streptophyta; Magnoliopsida; Zingiberales; Zingiberaceae. The transcript is spliced from 2 exons.